Lepisosteus oculatus (spotted gar) is the source of this 1253-nucleotide non-coding RNA. The record is from RefSeq and is a predicted model, not a curated record. Lineage: Eukaryota; Metazoa; Chordata; Actinopteri; Semionotiformes; Lepisosteidae.
AUAGGCUAGAAAAGCACUUUACAAGGGCGUUUCAGUACUUUUAAUGCUUGAAAAUAGAGCAAACAGGUGGAACCGCCUCGUCUCAGAACUAUGACUUGGCUUUAGUCUGAAUAAGAGAUGUACAUGGCCGGUAUUCUGCGUGGCCGGCCUGGUGGCUCCGCGGGCUGAACCAUCGGACACUUCUAAAGUUCAGAGAGCAGAUCGACUCCCGGAGAGUCUUGUGAGUUGAAGUCGAGCCCCGAGCCUCCCCGUCAGUCUGAGACCUAAUCCCCGGGUGAAGCUCUCAUGCUGUCGGGGUGAGUUUGUGGGGGUGGCUGUUCUCUACCACGCCGGCCGUUUUGGGGGGCUCCAUUUUCGGGGCCUUCCAAAACAGGGAAAAUGGGGGGUUUAAGACCUUUAUAAAUGCAUAGAUCGGAAUUCAAUUCGAAAAAGCAGCCCCUUAUACCACUGAGACACCUGCAGGACAGGUGUGGCACUAGCAGUGAAAGAGAGGUGCAGUCCUAACUAGGAGCGACAGGGGUCUCUCUCCAGCACAUUUCUCUUGAUUCGACCAGCUGGCCGGAAGAUAAACGAGUCCGGCAAACAGUUUUGUAGGGGAAUGUCACUGUAUUGGGUUCUCUGAAAAUCCUUAGCCUUUAAAUACUAAAUUUUUGAUUUGGUGAGUUCAAGUUUCUAUUUAUCUUCAGUAACGUCAGUGGUGAGCCCUUGUAACCGAGUGCACAGCUGUCAUUCAGGAGCCGAGCCCGCCCCCAGAGUGACCUUCCUCAGCGGACACGCCCCGUCCACCUGUUCCACAGGUGCGCCCGGCAAGAUGGCGGCGGGGGGAGUUUCUGCGGCGUGAGGACGCCGAAAUGAGUGUUCUGUUUGAGCGUGCUCUCGAAGUUUUAGAAGUCUGCGGUCCCAUCUUAUCUUUCAUGUGACAAAAGGAAUUCAAGAACGGGUCUCCAAUUAUGGAAGAAGCGUUUUUUUCCAGGGUGCGCCCGGCAAGAUGGCGGCGGGGCGAGUUUCUGCGGCGUGAGGACGCCGAAAUGAGUGUCCUCUCCGUUUGAGCGUCUUCUCACACCCAAAAGUAUUAAACUACACCCGUAGUUUUAAACGUUUGCAUUCCGCGUUCUUACACUAUCUUUCACGUAAGUAUGUUUUUUUUUAGAUAUGGUAUCUUUAGGUCAGUUUUCUUUAACGAAACAAAGACUCUAGUUUACCUCCAAACAUUUGCUUUAGUAGUUAGUAGCUGUGUCAUCUGUCCUUUUCGG